Molecule: ribosomal RNA, 468 nt
Filed under: uncultured bacterium
Lineage: Bacteria
Description: partial 16S ribosomal RNA
Rfam family: Bacterial small subunit ribosomal RNA
Source: RNAcentral
GACGAACGCUGGCGGCGUGCUUAACACAUGCAAGUCGAACGGAAAGGCCCUGCUUUUGUGGGGUUCUCGAGUGGCGCACGGGUGUGUAACACGUGAGUAACCUGCCCUUUACUUUGGGAUAACUUCAGGAAACUGGGGCUAAUACCGGAUAGGAGCUCCUGCUGCAUGGUGGUGGUUGGAGAGUUUCGGCGGUUGUGGAUGGUCUCGCGGCUUAUGAGCUUGUUGGUGGGGUAGUGGCUUACCAAGGCUUAGACGGAUAGCCGGCCUGAGAGGGUGAACGGCGACAAGGGGACUGAGAGACGGCGCAGACUGCUACGGGAGGCAGCAGGGGGGAAUAUUGCACAAUGGGGGGGAGCGUGAGGCAGAAACGCCGCGUGCGGGAUGACGGUCUUCGGGGUGUAAACCGCUGUCGCCUGUGACGAAGCGUGAGUGACGGUAAUGGGUAAAGAAGCACCGGCUAACUACGUG